Molecule: ribosomal RNA, 216 nt
Filed under: Glomeromycotina sp.
Lineage: Eukaryota; Fungi; Glomeromycota
Description: partial small subunit ribosomal RNA
Rfam family: Eukaryotic small subunit ribosomal RNA (bases 40-216)
Source: RNAcentral
GGGUCAGUAGGUUGGUCGUGCCACCGGUACGUACUGGUCUCACUGAUUCCUCCUUCCUGAAGAACCGUAAUGCCAUUAAUUUGGUGUUGCGGGGAAACAGGACUGUUACUCUGAAAAAAUUAGAGUGUUUAAAGCAAGCUAACGCUUAAAUACAUUAGCAUGGAAUAAUGAAAUAGGACGAUCGAUCCUAUUUUGUUGGUUUCUAGGAUUGACGUA